Molecule: ribosomal RNA, 775 nt
Filed under: uncultured Neocallimastigales
Lineage: Eukaryota; Fungi; Neocallimastigomycota; Neocallimastigomycetes; Neocallimastigales
Description: partial large subunit ribosomal RNA
Rfam family: Eukaryotic large subunit ribosomal RNA
Source: RNAcentral
UAUCUCUGUAGAGUCUGCAUAUCAAUAAGCGGAGGAAAAGAAACUAACAAGGAUUCCCCUAGUAACGGCGAGUGAAGCGGGAAGAGCUCAAAUUUGAAAUCUUAAAGGGUUUCCCUUUACGAAUUGUAGUUUAAAGAAGUGUUUUCUGUUGAGGUUUUGGUAAAAGUUCUUUGGAAUAGGACAUCAUAGAGGGUGAGAAUCCCGUAUUUGACCUUUACUUUCAACUUUGUGAUACACUUUCAAAGAGUCGGAUUGUUUGGGAAUGCAGUCCAAAAUGGGUGGUAAAUUUCAUCUAAAGCUAAAUAUUGGCGAGAGACCGAUAGCGAACAAGUACCGUGAGGGAAAGAUGAAAAGAACUUUGAAAAGAGAGUUAAACAGUACGUGAAAUUGUCAAAAGGGAAGCGUUUGACACCAGUGUUGUUUUUCUGAAAAUCAAUUAAAGAACUGUUUAUGCUAAGCUGUUUAGACUUUAUCAGCUAAUCUGUUUAGUUUUGAGCUUUUCUUUAAUGCACUUUUCAGUUAACAAGUCAACAUCAAUUUCUUUUGCUGUAAAAAAGCUUGAGGAAGGUGGCUUGAGAUUCGUCUUAAGUGUUUAUAGCCUCUUGCCUAUGCAGUCGGAGAGAUUGAGGUCUGCAGCGUAGAUCCUUCGGGGCUAAAUGCAUUUGUGCUAAGUUAUAGCAUUUUAUAGACAACUUGUUGACUAUGAUUUGUCUUGUAGCUUACUCGCUUAUGUUAUUUUACCUACGCUUAGGAUGUUGACGAUCAGCUGAGCGCG